Molecule: ribosomal RNA, 660 nt
Filed under: uncultured bacterium
Lineage: Bacteria
Description: bacterial SSU rRNA
Rfam family: Bacterial small subunit ribosomal RNA
Source: RNAcentral
AGUGGCGGACGGGUGAGUAACGCGUGAGAAUCUGCCUUGGGGUCGGGGACAACCACUGGAAACGGUGGCUAAUACCGGAUAAGCCGAUUGGUGAAAGAUUUAUUGCCCGAAGAGGAGCUCGCGUCUGAUUAGCUAGUUGGUGAGGUAAGAGCUCACCAAGGCAGCGAUCAGUAGCUGGUCUGAGAGGACGAUCAGCCACACUGGGACUGAGACACGGCCCAGACUCCUGCGGGAGGCAGCAGUGGGGAAUUUUCCGCAAUGGGCGAAAGCCUGACGGAGCAAGACCGCGUGAGGGAGGAAGGCUCUUGGGUUGUAAACCUCUUUUCUCAGGGAAGAAGCUCUGACGGUACCUGAGGAAUCAGCCUCGGCUAACUCCGUGCCAGCAGCCGCGGUAAUACGGAGGAGGCAAGCGUUAUCCGGAAUUAUUGGGCGUAAAGCGUCCGCAGGUGGCGAUUCAAGUCUGCUGUCAAAGCACGGGGCUUAACUCCGUAAAGGCAGUGGAAACUGAAUAGCUAGAGUGCCGUAGGGGUAGAGGGAAUUCCCGGUGUAGCGGUGAAAUGCGUAGAGAUCGGGAAGAACAUCGGUGGCGAAAGCGCUCUACUGGACGGCAACUGACACUCAGGGACGAAAGCUAGGGGAGCGAAUGGGAUUAGAUACCCC